RNAcentral lists this ribosomal RNA (465 nucleotides) under uncultured bacterium. RNAcentral describes it as "partial 16S ribosomal RNA". It matches the Rfam family "Bacterial small subunit ribosomal RNA", at positions 339 to 795 of the family's 1533-position model. The record is from RNAcentral.
CUACGGGUUGCUCCAGUGGGGAAUAUUGCGCAAUGGGCGAAAGCCUGACGCAGCAACGCCGUGUGAGGGAUGAAGGCUUUCGGGUCGUAAACCUCUGUCAGAAGGGAAGAACGGGUAUUGGUCUAAUAGGCCAUUAUUUUGACGGUACCUUCAGAGGAAGCACCGGCUAACUCCGUGCCAGCAGCCGCGGUAAUACGGAGGGUGCAAGCGUUAUUCGGAAUUACUGGGCGUAAAGCGCACGUAGGCCGCUUUGUAAGUCAGGGGUGAAAUCCCACGGCUCAACCGUGGAACUGCCUUUGAAACUGCAGAGCUUGAAUCCUGGAGAGGGUGGCGGAAUUCCUGGUGUAGGAGUGAAAUCCGUAGAUAUCAGGAGGAACACCGGUGGCGAAGGCGGCCACCUGGACAGGUAUUGACGCUGAGAUGCGAAAGUGUGGGGAGCAAACAGGAUUAGAUACCCCAGUAGUC